AUGGUUAUUGCGGAGAGGCUGUCCGAGAAAGAAAUUGGUGGUUUGAAAGUGUUCUAUUCAACGAACUGGUUGGAAAUUCCAUGUAUGUGUGGAGGAUUGCAAGUUGAUGGUGAACAUAGCUGUGCGGAUGUGGUCGAAUGGAGUGAUGAGUUUGGGUGUAGACAAUUAACCUCAGAAAUGCAUUUGCGUGUAGAUGAUUAUUUCUCGUCGAAGUGGCUAGACAUUAUGAUAUUUGAACGGCGAUGA
Molecule: non-coding RNA, 246 nt
Organism: Vicia faba (fava bean)
Lineage: Eukaryota; Viridiplantae; Streptophyta; Magnoliopsida; Fabales; Fabaceae
Source: the annotation of a GenBank genome assembly